RNAcentral lists this ribosomal RNA (533 nucleotides) under [Candida] sp. MCR14. RNAcentral describes it as "eukaryotic LSU rRNA". It matches the Rfam family "Eukaryotic large subunit ribosomal RNA", at positions 62 to 597 of the family's 3401-position model. The record is from RNAcentral. Lineage: Eukaryota; Fungi; Ascomycota; Saccharomycetes; Saccharomycetales.
AAACCAACAGGGAUUGCCUCAGUAACGGCGAGUGAAGCGGCAAAAGCUCAAAUUUGAAAUCUAGUACCUUCGGUGCUCGAGUUGUAAUUUGAAGAUGGCGACUUUGGGAGUGGCCUUUAUCUAUGUUCCUUGGAACAGGACGUCACAGAGGGUGAGAAUCCCGUCUGAUGAGGUGAUCCACUCCUUUGUAAAGUGCUAUCGAAGAGUCGAGUUGUUUGGGAAUGCAGCUCUAAGUGGGUGGUAAAUUCCAUCUAAAGCUAAAUAUUGGCGAGAGACCGAUAGCGAACAAGUACAGUGAUGGAAAGAUGAAAAGAACUUUGAAAAGAGAGUGAAAAAGUACGUGAAAUUGUUGAAAGGGAAGGGUAUUAGAUCAGACUUGGCGUUGUGUGAUUAUCUUCCCCUUGUGGGUUGUGCACUCGUGCUUCGCUGGGCCAGCAUCGAUUCGUGUGGCAGGAUAAUAGCAUUGGAACGUGGCUGCGCUUCUGUGUAGUGUUAUAGCCUUUGUUGAUACUGCCUAUGUGGAUCGAGGACUG